UACGUAGGGUGCGAGCGUUGUCCGGAAUUACUGGGCGUAAAGAGCUCGUAGGUGGUUUGUCGCGUUGUUCGUGAAAUCUCACGGCUUAACUGUGAGCGUGCGGGCGAUACGGGCAGACUUGAGUACUGCAGGGGAGACUGGAAUUCCUGGUGUAGCGGUGGAAUGCGCAGAUAUCAGGAGGAACACCGGUGGCGAAGGCGGGUCUCUGGGCAGUAACUGACGCUGAGGUACGAAAGCUAGGGGAGCGAACGGG
Molecule: ribosomal RNA, 253 nt
Filed under: uncultured bacterium
Lineage: Bacteria
Description: partial 16S ribosomal RNA
Rfam family: Bacterial small subunit ribosomal RNA
Source: RNAcentral